Molecule: ribosomal RNA, 301 nt
Filed under: uncultured bacterium
Lineage: Bacteria
Description: partial 16S ribosomal RNA
Rfam family: Bacterial small subunit ribosomal RNA
Source: RNAcentral
CAGUAGCCGCGGGAAUACGAAGGGGGCUAGCGUUGCUCGGAAUGACUGGGCGUAAAGGGCGCGUAGGCGGCGAUCAAAGUCAGGUGUGAAAUUCCUGGGCUCAACCUGGGGGCUGCGUUUGAUACUUGAUUGCUAGAGUGGGGAAGAGGGUCGUGGAAUUCCCAGUGUAGAGGUGAAAUUCGUAGAUAUUGGGAAGAACACCGGUGGCGAAGGCGGCGACCUGGUCCUUGACUGACGCUGAGGCGCGAAAGCGUGGGGAGCAAACAGGAUUAGAUACCCCUGUAGUCCCUGUCUCUUAUAC